This 468-nucleotide ribosomal RNA is filed under the name uncultured bacterium. RNAcentral describes it as "partial 16S ribosomal RNA". It matches the Rfam family "Bacterial small subunit ribosomal RNA", at positions 28 to 507 of the family's 1533-position model. The record is from RNAcentral.
GACGAACGCUGGCGGCGUGCUUAACACAUGCAAGUCGAACGGAAAGGCCCUGCUUUUGUGGGGUUCUCGAUUGGCGAACGGGUGAGUAACACGUGAGUAACCUGCCCUUGACUUUGUGAUAACUUCAGGAAACUGGGGCUAAUACCGGAUAGGAGCUCCUGCUGCAUGGUGGGGGUUGGAAAGUUUCGGCGGUUGGGGAUGGUCUCGCGGGUUCUCGGCUUGUUGGUGGGGUAGUGGCUUACCAAGGCUUUGACGGGUAGCCGGCCUGAGAGGGUGACCGGCAACCAUGGGACUGCGAGACGGAGCAGAAUCCAACGGGAGGCAGCAGUGGGGAAUAUUGCAGAAUGGGGGGAAGCCAGAUGCAGCAACGUCGGGUGCGGGAUGACGGGUUACGGGUUGUAAACCGAUUUCGAAUGUGACGAAGCGUGAGUGACGGUAAUGGGUAAAGAAGCACCGGCUAACUACGUG